Molecule: ribosomal RNA, 249 nt
Filed under: uncultured Actinomycetales bacterium
Lineage: Bacteria; Bacillati; Actinomycetota; Actinomycetes; Actinomycetales
Description: partial 16S ribosomal RNA
Rfam family: Bacterial small subunit ribosomal RNA
Source: RNAcentral
UGGGGAAUAUUGGGCAAUGGAGGAAACUCUGACCCAGCGACGCCGCGUGCGGGAUGAAGGCCUUCGGGUUGUAAACCGCUUUCAGCAAGGAAGAAGCGGAAGAGACGGUACUUGCAGCAGCAGCACCGGCUAACUAUGGGCCAGCAGACGCGGUAAUACAUAGGGCGCAAGCGUUGUCAGGGAUUAUUGGGCGUAAAGAGCUCGGAGGAGGUUAGUCAGGGCGGAUGGGGAAAUCGGGGGAUGAGCCCC